This 503-nucleotide ribosomal RNA is filed under the name uncultured bacterium. RNAcentral's name for it is "partial 16S ribosomal RNA". It matches the Rfam family "Bacterial small subunit ribosomal RNA", at positions 355 to 874 of the family's 1533-position model. The record is from RNAcentral.
UGGGGAAUAUUGCACAAUGGGCGAAAGCCUGAUGCAGCAACGCCGCGUGAGUGAUGAAGGUCUUCGGAUUGUAAAGCUCUGCCUUUUGGGACGAUAAUGACGGUACCAAAGGAGGAAGCCACGGCUAACUACGUGCCAGCAGCCGCGGUAAUACGUAGGUGGCGAGCGUUGUCCGGAUUUACUGGGCGUAAAGGGUGCGUAGGCGGAUGUUUAAGUGAGAUGUGAAAUACCCGGGCUUAACUUGGGUGCUGCAUUUCAAACUGGAUAUCUAGAGUGCAGGAGAGGAGAAUGGAAUUCCUAGUGUAGCGGUGAAAUGCGUAGAGAUUAGGAAGAACACCAGUGGCGAAGGCGAUUCUCUGGACUGUAACUGACGCUGAGGCACGAAAGCGUGGGUAGCAAACAGGAUUAGAUACCCUGGUAGUCCACGCCGUAAACGAUGAGUACUAGGUGUAGGAGGUAUCGACCCCUUCUGUGCCGCAGUAAACACAUUAAGUACUCCGCCU